This 105-nucleotide small nuclear RNA is filed under the name Dictyostelium purpureum. The record is from RNAcentral. Lineage: Eukaryota; Evosea; Eumycetozoa; Dictyosteliales; Dictyosteliaceae.
GACCCUCUUAGGAGGUCAUCCGUUAAAUUGGAAGCGAUACAGAGAAGAUUAGCAAAGUCCCUGCGUAAGGAUGACUAUAAAGUAAUCAAGAAGACAAACCUUUUU